AGAUUGAACGCUGGCGGCGUGCCUAACACAUGCAAGUCGAGCGGUAACAGGUGUAGCAAUACAUGCUGACGAGCGGCGAACGGGUGAGUAAUGCUUUGGAAUCUUCCCAGUAGUGGGGAAUAACCAGUCGAAAGAUUGGCUAAUACCGCAUACGUCUGUAAAGGGAAAGCGGGGGCUCGUAAGACCUCGCGCUAUUGGAUGAGCCAAAGUCGGAUUAGCUAGUUGGUGGGGUAAUGGCCUACCAAGGCGACAAUCCGUAGCUGGUCUGAGAGGACGACCAGCCACACCGGAACUGAGACACGGUCCGGACUCCUACGGGAGGCAGCAGUGGGGAAUAUUGGACAAUGGGGGAAACCCUGAUCCAGCGACGCCGCGUGUGUGAAGAAGGCCUGCGGGUUGUAAAGCACUUUUAGUGGGGACAAAAGCUACGGAUUAAUACUCUGUGGUCUUGAUUUAACCCAAAGAAAAGCACCGGCUAACUCUGCGCCAGCAGCCGCGGU
Molecule: ribosomal RNA, 500 nt
Filed under: uncultured bacterium
Lineage: Bacteria
Description: SSU rRNA
Rfam family: Bacterial small subunit ribosomal RNA
Source: RNAcentral